UUGCCCUCUGCUUUUCACUUUUUUUUGUAAAUUUAAUUAAUAGUCUCUAUUAUUCCAACUAUACACCAAGCUCAGGAUUAACCUCUGAAGAAUGUGCUAUAGUAUCAGUAUUUAUAUGCAGAUAAUAUGUAUAUAUGUAUAUAAGUGAUAUCGCCGGACCCUGUACUCACAGCAAUAGCAUUUACGUCGCUGGUGUGACCUUGGAACGUCUGUUUGCAUUUUCCGUCCCUGAUGUCCCACAGUUUAGCCAACGAGUCACAAGCUCCAGAAAUGAACAUGUUCAUAUCAGGGGAUAAAGCCAGACACAUACAGUCACCCACAUGGUUAAGAUAAACUGUCUUCUGCUUUCCGGUCUCUAUAUCCCACAGUGCACUGGAAGGGAACAGGGGUUAUAAUGGGACUGAGCUUGGAUUGUUCCAGUGUAUUACAUUUGUGGUAUUGUUAAGAAAUUCCUAAAGAUCAUGUGAUCAGCAACGUUAUAUACCAGGUGGUGUCGCCGGAGGAGGUGAGGAUUUCACUGUCAUCGAGAAAGCGGGCACAGGAAAGGCGUCUUCAAGUUGUAUACGGUGCACAUGUUGUCAAGUCCACCACUGGCUACAAAGUUUCCAGAAGGGGAAUAACCACAGGUCAUCACCCAGGAGGACUUCAGAGGAACCGCGUUAAUCUGCUAUACCCUCACAGGUCACUGCACAUUCGUGCAAUUAUGCACUGGACAGUUAUAUCAGGAAAAUGGACAGUUGAAUGGACAGUGAGCUUGUGCCUAUUCUACCCUCUGACUGGUCAGAAACCUUCUACUCUUCCUGAAGGUUGGUCAUGUUUCUGAGAUAUUUUUUCAGCUCUUAGGAGAGAGUGGUUAUAAGAAGUCUUCCUGUCAGCUCAAACCGGUCUGUCCAUUCUCCUACAUGAACAAGGGUAUUUC
Molecule: long non-coding RNA, 919 nt
Organism: Hemibagrus wyckioides
Lineage: Eukaryota; Metazoa; Chordata; Actinopteri; Siluriformes; Bagridae
Exons: 3
Source: RefSeq, a predicted model, not a curated record